UGCCAAUGGAGAAGAAGGAGUAGUAGGAGCAUUUGCAGGAGCAGAGACAGGUGUUACUGCAGAUGGAGGAGUCGCCACCGGAGGUGACGAUGCUACCGGUGGUGGAGAACUCUUCGGAGAAGCUGCCGGAGAUGCUCCUGGUGCCUGAGCAAAUGCAGAUCCAACCACCAAAGCCAACAUUAGAGCAACGAUUACCUUUGAGUAUGCCAUUCUAGCCUUUAGACGAGGAGAUUUUUCGAGAAAGAGAAGUGGAAUAAAGCGCAAAAGAGAUAAAAGAGGAAUAUGACUGUUGUUGAGUACCGUUUGAGAAAAAGGAAAGGAGGAGAGUCUAUUUAUAGGAGGGAAAAUGGAAAUAUGAGGAAAAAUAAAUUUUAAUUUUUAGUUAGUCGGUUUAGAAGAAAAUUAAUUUGAAAUAAGGACUCUGGACUGGACUAAUAAUUUGUUGACAUCUAACGACAGAAGAAGAG
This 467-nucleotide long non-coding RNA is filed under the name Nicotiana tabacum (common tobacco). RNAcentral describes it as "long non-coding RNA (NTAB_LNC007776)". The record is from RNAcentral. Lineage: Eukaryota; Viridiplantae; Streptophyta; Magnoliopsida; Solanales; Solanaceae.